AACGCUGGCGGCGCGCCUAACACAUGCAAGUCGAACGAGAAAGCAGGAGCAAUCUUGUGAGUAAAGUGGCGUACGGGUGAGUAACACGUGGAUCAUCUACCCUCUUGUGGGGGAUAACUCUGGGAAACCGGAGCUAAUACCGCAUAAGUCCGAGAGGAGAAAGCAGCAAUGCGCAGGAGGAGGAGUCCGCGGCCGAUUAGCUAGUUGGUAGGGUAAAAGCCUACCAAGGCUACGAUCGGUAGCCGGCCUGAGAGGGCACACGGCCACACUGGCACUGAAACACGGGCCAGACUCCUACGGGAGGCAGCAGUGGGGAAUCUUGCACAAUGGGGGCAACCCUGAUGCAGCGACGCCGCGUGAGCGAUGAAGCCCUUCGGGGUGUAAAGCUCUUUCGGCAGGGAAGAUUAUGACGGUACCUGCAGAAGCAGCUGCG
Molecule: ribosomal RNA, 433 nt
Filed under: uncultured bacterium
Lineage: Bacteria
Description: bacterial SSU rRNA
Rfam family: Bacterial small subunit ribosomal RNA
Source: RNAcentral